RNAcentral lists this ribosomal RNA (732 nucleotides) under Klebsiella pneumoniae. RNAcentral's name for it is "bacterial SSU rRNA". It matches the Rfam family "Bacterial small subunit ribosomal RNA", at positions 745 to 1474 of the family's 1533-position model. Lineage: Bacteria; Pseudomonadati; Pseudomonadota; Gammaproteobacteria; Enterobacterales; Enterobacteriaceae. RNAcentral also lists the same sequence under 1 other name. The record is from RNAcentral.
GCUCAGGUGCGAAAGCGUUGGGGAGCAAACAGGAUUAGAUACCCUGGUAGUCCACCGCCGUAAACGAUGUCGAUUUGGAGGUUGUGCCCCUGAGGCGUGGCUUCCGGAGCUAACGCGUUAAAUCGACCGCCUGGGGAGUACGGCCGCAAGGUUAAAACUCAAAUGAAUUGACGGGGGCCCGCACAAGCGGUGGAGCAUGUGGUUUAAUUCGAUGCAACGCGAAGAACCUUACCUGGUCUUGACAUCCACAGAACUUUCCAGAGAUGGAUUGGUGCCUUCGGGAACUGUGAGACAGGUGCUGCAUGGCUGUCGUCAGCUCGUGUUGUGAAAUGUUGGGUUAAGUCCCGCAACGAGCGCAACCCUUAUCCUUUGUUGCCAGCGGUUCGGCCGGGAACUCAAAGGAGACUGCCAGUGAUAAACUGGAGGAAGGUGGGGAUGACGUCAAGUCAUCAUGGCCCUUACGACCAGGGCUACACACGUGCUACAAUGGCAUAUACAAAGAGAAGCGACCUCGCGAGAGCAAGCGGACCUCAUAAAGUAUGUCGUAGUCCGGAUUGGAGUCUGCAACUCGACUCCAUGAAGUCGGAAUCGCUAGUAAUCGUAGAUCAGAAUGCUACGGUGAAUACGUUCCCGGGCCUUGUACACACCGCCCGUCACACCAUGGGAGUGGGUUGCAAAAGAAGUAGGUAUCUUGAUCUUCGCGAAGAUGAUUAACUACUUUGUAUUAAAGGG